GCUGCCGCUCACACCCGCUGCCAGUGCCCAGUGCUGGUCCUGAUCUCUUGGUGCUGUCAGUGGGUGCGAGCAGCUGCUG
RNAcentral lists this microRNA precursor (79 nucleotides) under Eptesicus fuscus (big brown bat). RNAcentral's name for it is "microRNA efu-mir-9198b precursor (efu-mir-9198b-3)". It matches the Rfam family "mir-9198 microRNA precursor family". The record is from miRBase by way of RNAcentral. Lineage: Eukaryota; Metazoa; Chordata; Mammalia; Chiroptera; Vespertilionidae.